UAAGGAAUAUUGGACAAUGGACGCAAGUCUGAUCCAGCCAUGCCGCGUGAAGGAUUAAGGUCCUCUGGAUUGUAAACUUCUUUUAUAUGGGACGAAAAAAGGGCAUUCUUGCUCACUUGACGGUACCAUAUGAAUAAGCACCGGCUAACUCCGUGCCAGCAGCCGCGGUAAUACGGAGGGUGCAAGCGUUAUCCGGAUUCACUGGGUUUAAAGGGUGCGUAGGCGGGUAGGUAAGUCAGUGGUGAAAUCUCGAAGCUUAACUUCGAAACUGCCAUUGAUACUAUCUAUCUUGAAUAUUGUGGAGGUUUGCGGAAUAUGUCAUGUAGCGGUGAAAUGCUUAGAUAUGACAUAGAACACCUAUUGCGAAGGCAGCAGGCUACACAUAUAUUGACGCUGAGGCACGAAAGCGUGGGGAUCAAACA
RNAcentral lists this ribosomal RNA (422 nucleotides) under uncultured bacterium. RNAcentral's name for it is "bacterial SSU rRNA". It matches the Rfam family "Bacterial small subunit ribosomal RNA", at positions 355 to 774 of the family's 1533-position model. The record is from RNAcentral.